AGUGAACGCUGGCGGUAGGCCUAACACAUGCAAGUCGAACGGCAGCACAGUAAGAGCUUGCUCUUACGGGUGGCGAGUGGCGGACGGGUGAGGAAUACAUCGGAAUCUACUUUUUCGUGGGGGAUAACGUAGGGAAACUUACGCUAGUACCGCAUACGACCUACGGGUGAAAGCAGGGGAUCUUCGGACCUUGCGCGAUUGAAUGAGCCGAUGUCGGAUUAGCUAGUUGGCGGGGUAAAGGCCCACCAAGGCGACGAUCCGUAGCUGGUCUGAGAGGAUGAUCAGCCACACUGGAACUGAGACACGGUCCAGACUCCUACGGGAGGCAGCAGUGGGGAAUAUUGGACAAUGGGCGCAAGCCUGAUCCAGCCAUACCGCGUGGGUGAAGAAGGCCUUCGGGUUGUAAAGCCCUUUUGUUGGGAAAGAAAAGCAGCAGGUUAAUACCCCGCUGUUCUGACGGUACCCAAAGAAUAAGCACCGGCUAACUUCGU
Molecule: ribosomal RNA, 491 nt
Filed under: uncultured bacterium
Lineage: Bacteria
Description: partial 16S ribosomal RNA
Rfam family: Bacterial small subunit ribosomal RNA
Source: RNAcentral